This is a long non-coding RNA of Mus musculus (house mouse), 523 nucleotides long. RefSeq annotates it as predicted gene, 52319. The record is from RefSeq and is a predicted model, not a curated record. The transcript has 3 exons. NCBI's taxonomy places the organism in Eukaryota, Metazoa, Chordata, Mammalia, Rodentia, Muridae.
CAAACUUUUACUAAGAUUCAAAGGCUUGAGUCUGCUGCCGUUUUUACAAUGUGAAGUUCAGCACAGAACCCACAGUGGUCAAAUGGACUCCAGAUAAGAACUGUCAAUCAACAGCCUGUUUCAUCUCCUGCCUGUUCAGCAUAGUCCUAAAGUAAAUAAGAAGAAGGGAUGUCUGUCAACCAAUGACCACCCACAUUCCAGAACCAGCCUGCUUUCAGCCUAUCAGUUCCAGAAGCCACAUCAUCACCAGCCACCAGAUGUGACACAUUUCUACUGUGGCCACAAGUUGUGUACCCUUAUCCAGCUCAGGUCUCCACAACCGCCUCUUUCUCUUCCAUACUCACUACCCACCCCCAUCAAUCUCUCACAUGAAGUCUGUUGUGUUGUGUGACCUUUGCAAAACCCCAUGGUUCUCUGAUCCAUGCAAGAACUCUAACAACCCCACAGGGUCAGCCCUGAAUGUUUCCCCAGCUGGGCAGGUGUCUGUUGGAGCAGGACCUAAAACUGCAAGAAGUCUGAGCAA